GGCGAGGUAGCAAAGAGGUCAUGCAGCGGCCUGCAAAGCCGUCCAGAUGGGUUCGAUUCCCGUCCUCGCCUCCA
Molecule: transfer RNA, 74 nt
Filed under: Pseudomonadota bacterium
Lineage: Bacteria; Pseudomonadati; Pseudomonadota
Description: tRNA-Cys
Rfam family: tRNA
About the family: Transfer RNA (tRNA) molecules are approximately 80 nucleotides in length. Their secondary structure includes four short double-helical elements and three loops (D, anti-codon, and T loops). Further hydrogen bonds mediate the characteristic L-shaped molecular structure. tRNAs have two regions of fundamental functional importance: the anti-codon, which is responsible for specific mRNA codon recognition, and the 3' end, to which the tRNAs corresponding amino acid is attached (by aminoacyl-tRNA synthetases). tRNAs cope with the degeneracy of the genetic code in two manners: having more than one tRNA (with a specific anti-codon) for a particular amino acid; and 'wobble' base-pairing, i.e. permitting non-standard base-pairing at the 3rd anti-codon position.
Source: RNAcentral